RNAcentral lists this ribosomal RNA (661 nucleotides) under Xanthoconium fusciceps. RNAcentral describes it as "partial 28S large subunit ribosomal RNA". It matches the Rfam family "Eukaryotic large subunit ribosomal RNA", at positions 77 to 733 of the family's 3401-position model. The record is from RNAcentral. Lineage: Eukaryota; Fungi; Basidiomycota; Agaricomycetes; Boletales; Boletaceae.
CCCCUAGUACUGCGAGUGAAGCGGGAAGAGCUCAAAUUUUGAAUCUGGCGGUCUUUGGCCGUCCGAGUUGUAAUCUAGAGAAGCGUCUUCCGCGCUGGUGCCGUGUACAAGUCUCCUGGAAGGGAGCGUCAUAGAGGGUGAGAAUCCCGUCUUUGACACGGACCGCCAGUGCUAUGUGAUGCGCUCUCGACGAGUCGAGUUGUUUGGGAAUGCAGCUCAAAAUGGGUGGUAAAUUCCAUCUAAAGCUAAAUACAGGCGAGAGACCGAUAGCGAACAAGUACCGUGAGGGAAAGAUGAAAAGAACUUUGGAAAGAGAGUUAAACAGUACGUGAAAUUGCUGAAAGGGAAACGCUUGAUGUCAGUCGCGUCUGCCGGGGAUCAACCUUGCCUUUUCGCUCGGUGUAUUUCCUGGUCGACGGGUCAGCAUCGGUCUCGAUCGCCGUACAAGGGCGAAAGGAACGUGGCACUCUUCGGAGUGUGUUAUAGCCUUUCGUCGUAUGCAGCGUUUGGAACUGAGGAACUCAGCAUGGCCUUCACGGUCUGUGCUUAGGAUGCUGGCAUAAUGGCCUUAAGCGACCCGUCUUGAAACACGGACCAAGGAGUCUAACAUGCCUGCGAGUGUUUGGGUGGCAAACUCGGGCGCGCAACGAAAGUGAAAGUC